AUGGAGCUAAGGAACGCUGCCUCCACCUCAGCAGAGGCACUUCUUCUGAGCAUGGACAUGGCGUACUCCAUCACCAUGGCGUCACAGGGCAGCUUGAUCCCUCCUUCACUGCCUGCGAAACCAAACACCUCUUCAGACAUCCGCAGGAGCUCACUGAAGACCACCGUGCUGAGUGUUGAGCACUCUUCGACUUCUGUUGUUGCCGUCAUGGUAAAGCGCUUCCUCCCGAGAGCUGCUACCCUCUGCCACUUCUUUGCUAGUUGA
RNAcentral lists this ribosomal RNA (264 nucleotides) under Triticum aestivum (bread wheat). Its description in RNAcentral is "partial small subunit ribosomal RNA". The record is from RNAcentral. Lineage: Eukaryota; Viridiplantae; Streptophyta; Magnoliopsida; Poales; Poaceae.